Cygnus olor (mute swan) is the source of this 316-nucleotide long non-coding RNA. RefSeq lists it as uncharacterized. The transcript is spliced from 3 exons. NCBI's taxonomy places the organism in Eukaryota, Metazoa, Chordata, Aves, Anseriformes, Anatidae. The record is from RefSeq and is a predicted model, not a curated record.
UGCAGCAUUCAGGGUGGAAAGGGGCUCCACAGGCCGCCCUUCUCUCCUCAUGGUGCGAUCUCCUUUCCAGUGGCUGUGUUCACAAAGGAGGAAGCAUGCAUGAGCACCAGGAAGCACUCAUGAAACAAACAUCUCAAAGGUCUGGCUGCUGUGCCCUGGGAUACGCUAAGCAGUCUGACCACCUUGCAGCUAAUUGAAGCACAGAUUAAAGCAAAUGCAGUUGAAGUCUUUCAAUGGAAGUGAAGAGUCAGUCUAGUAUUUCUCCAAGCUGCUGAGGAAAAGUUCCUGUAAGUGACAAACUUAAUUCUUCCUUUAC